Molecule: ribosomal RNA, 179 nt
Filed under: Lachnospiraceae bacterium KHCPX20
Lineage: Bacteria; Bacillati; Bacillota; Clostridia; Lachnospirales; Lachnospiraceae
Description: Bacterial large subunit ribosomal RNA
Rfam family: Bacterial large subunit ribosomal RNA
Source: Rfam by way of RNAcentral
UAGCCAAGUCUGGAAGGGAUAAACGCUGAAGGCAUCUAAGCGUGAAGCCCACCCCAAGAUGAGAUAUCCCGUCCAUAAGGACAUAAGAUCCCUCAGAGAGUAUGAGGUAGAUAGGGCAGAGGUGUAAGCAGAGUAAUCUGUUCAGCUGACUGUCACUAAUAGAUCGAAGGCUUGAUCAA